AUUGAACGCUGGCGGCAUGCUUUACACAUGCAAGUCGAACGGUAACAGGCCGCAAGGUGCUGACGAGUGGCGAACGGGGGAGUAAUGCAUCGGAACGUGCCCAGUCGUGGUGGAUAACUACUCGAAAGAGUAGCUAAUACCGCAUACGAUAUAAGGAUGUAAGCGGGGGACCGUAAGGGCUAGCGCGAUUGGUGCGGCCGAUGUCAGAUUAGGUAGUUGGUGGGGUAAAGGCUCACCAAGCCAACGAUCUGUAGCUGGUCUGAGAGGACGACCAGCCACACUGGGACUGAGACACGGCCCAGACUCCUACGGGAGGCAGCAGUGGGGAAUUUUGGGCAAUGGGCGCAAGCCUGAUCCAGCAAUGCCGCGUGCGGGAAGAAGGCCUUCGGGUUGUAAACUGCUUUUGUACGGAACGAAACGGCUCUGGUUAAUACCCGGGGCUAAUGACGGUACCGUAUGAAUAAGCACCGGCUAACUACGUG
RNAcentral lists this ribosomal RNA (482 nucleotides) under uncultured bacterium. Its description in RNAcentral is "partial 16S ribosomal RNA". It matches the Rfam family "Bacterial small subunit ribosomal RNA", at positions 30 to 507 of the family's 1533-position model. The record is from RNAcentral.